AGUGAACGCUGGCGGUAGGCCUAACACAUGCAAGUCGAACGGCAGCACAGUAAGAGCUUGCUCUUACGGGUGGCGAGUGGCGGACGGGUGAGGAAUACAUCGGAAUCUACUUUUUCGUGGGGGAUAACGUAGGGAAACUUACGCUAAUACCGCAUACGACCUACGGGUGAAAGCAGGGGAUCUUCGGACCUUUCGCGAUUGAAUGAGCCGAUGUCGGAUUAGCUAGUUGGCGGGGUAAAGGCCCACCAAGGCGACGAUCCGUAGCUGGUCUGAGAGGAUGAUCAGCCACACUGGAACUGAGACACGGUCCAGACUCCUACGGGAGGCAGCAGUGGGGAAUAUUGGACAAUGGGCGCAAGCCUGAUCCAGCCAUACCGCGUGGGUGAAGAAGGCCUUCGGGUUGUAAAGCCCUUUUGUUGGGAAAGAAAAGCAGCAGGCUAAUACCCCGCUGUUCUGACGGUACCCAAAGAAUAAGCACCGGCUAACUUCGUG
Molecule: ribosomal RNA, 492 nt
Filed under: uncultured bacterium
Lineage: Bacteria
Description: partial 16S ribosomal RNA
Rfam family: Bacterial small subunit ribosomal RNA
Source: RNAcentral